GCUACGGGCGGCAGCAGUGAGGAAUAUUGGUCAAUGGGCGGAAGACUGAACCAGCCAAGUAGCGUGCAGGAUGACGGCCCUACGGGUUGUAAACUGCUUUUAUACGGGAAUAACGCGCCUUACGUGUAGGGCUUUGCAUGUACCGUAUGAAAAAGGACCGGCUAAUUCCGUGCCAGCAGCCGCGGUAAUACGGAAGGUCCGGGCGUUAUCCGGAUUUAGUGGGUUUAAAGGGAGCGGAGGCGGCCUGUCAAGCGUGCGGUGAAAUGUCCGGGCUCAACCCGGGCCUUGCGGCUGAAACGUGCGUGCUUGAGUCCGCGGAAAGCAGGCGGAAUGCGGCGUGUAGCGGUGAAAUGCUUAGAUAUGACGAAGAACCCCGAUUGCGAAGGCAGCUUGCUGCAGCGGAACUGACGCUGAUGCUCGAAAGCGCGGGGAUCGAACAGGAUUAGAUACCCCAGUAGUC
This 460-nucleotide ribosomal RNA is filed under the name uncultured bacterium. Its description in RNAcentral is "partial 16S ribosomal RNA". It matches the Rfam family "Bacterial small subunit ribosomal RNA", at positions 338 to 795 of the family's 1533-position model. The record is from RNAcentral.